GCGGGUGUGGCGGAAUGGUAGACGCCGGGGACUUAAAAUCCCCUGAUCUUCGAUCGUGUGGGUUCGAGUCCCACCACCCGCA
RNAcentral lists this transfer RNA (82 nucleotides) under Zymomonas sp. It matches the Rfam family "tRNA". From Rfam's summary of the family: Transfer RNA (tRNA) molecules are approximately 80 nucleotides in length. The record is from Rfam by way of RNAcentral. Lineage: Bacteria; Pseudomonadati; Pseudomonadota; Alphaproteobacteria; Sphingomonadales; Zymomonadaceae.